RNAcentral lists this ribosomal RNA (401 nucleotides) under uncultured bacterium. RNAcentral's name for it is "bacterial SSU rRNA". It matches the Rfam family "Bacterial small subunit ribosomal RNA", at positions 975 to 1375 of the family's 1533-position model. The record is from RNAcentral.
CUGGGUUUGACAUGCACAGGACGACUGCAGAGAUGUGGUUUCUCUUGUGGCCUGUGUGCAGGUGGUGCAUGGCUGUCGUCAGCUCGUGUCGUGAGAUGUUGGGUUAAGUCCCGCAACGAGCGCAACCCUUGUCCUAUGUUGCCAGCGGGUUAUGCCGGGGACUCGUAGGAGACUGCCGGGGUCAACUCGGAGGAAGGUGGGGAUGACGUCAAGUCAUCAUGCCCCUUAUGUCCAGGGCUUCACACAUGCUACAAUGGCCGGUACAAAGGGCUGCGAUGCCGUGAGGUGGAGCGAAUCCUUUCAAAGCCGGUCUCAGUUCGGAUCGGGGUCUGCAACUCGACCCCGUGAAGUCGGAGUCGCUAGUAAUCGCAGAUCAGCAACGCUGCGGUGAAUACGUUCCC